RNAcentral lists this ribosomal RNA (1564 nucleotides) under Lactobacillus crispatus. RNAcentral's name for it is "bacterial SSU rRNA". It matches the Rfam family "Bacterial small subunit ribosomal RNA". The record is from RNAcentral. Lineage: Bacteria; Bacillati; Bacillota; Bacilli; Lactobacillales; Lactobacillaceae.
UAAAAUGAGAGCUUGAUCCUGGCUCAGGACGAACGCUGGCGGCGUGCCUAAUACAUGCAAGUCGAGCGAGCGGAACUAACAGAUUUACUUCGGUAAUGACGUUAGGAAAGCGAGCGGCGGAUGGGUGAGUAACACGUGGGGAACCUGCCCCAUAGUCUGGGAUACCACUUGGAAACAGGUGCUAAUACCGGAUAAGAAAGCAGAUCGCAUGAUCAGCUUUUAAAAGGCGGCGUAAGCUGUCGCUAUGGGAUGGCCCCGCGGUGCAUUAGCUAGUUGGUAAGGUAAAGGCUUACCAAGGCGAUGAUGCAUAGCCGAGUUGAGAGACUGAUCGGCCACAUUGGGACUGAGACACGGCCCAAACUCCUACGGGAGGCAGCAGUAGGGAAUCUUCCACAAUGGACGCAAGUCUGAUGGAGCAACGCCGCGUGAGUGAAGAAGGUUUUCGGAUCGUAAAGCUCUGUUGUUGGUGAAGAAGGAUAGAGGUAGUAACUGGCCUUUAUUUGACGGUAAUCAACCAGAAAGUCACGGCUAACUACGUGCCAGCAGCCGCGGUAAUACGUAGGUGGCAAGCGUUGUCCGGAUUUAUUGGGCGUAAAGCGAGCGCAGGCGGAAGAAUAAGUCUGAUGUGAAAGCCCUCGGCUUAACCGAGGAACUGCAUCGGAAACUGUUUUUCUUGAGUGCAGAAGAGGAGAGUGGAACUCCAUGUGUAGCGGUGGAAUGCGUAGAUAUAUGGAAGAACACCAGUGGCGAAGGCGGCUCUCUGGUCUGCAACUGACGCUGAGGCUCGAAAGCAUGGGUAGUGAACAGGAUUAGAUACCCUGGUAGUCCAUGCCGUAAACGAUGAGUGCUAAGUGUUGGGAGGUUUCCGCCUCUCAGUGCUGCAGCUAACGCAUUAAGCACUCCGCCUGGGGAGUACGACCGCAAGGUUGAAACUCAAAGGAAUUGACGGGGGCCCGCACAAGCGGUGGAGCAUGUGGUUUAAUUCGAAGCAACGCGAAGAACCCUACCAGGUCUUGACAUCUAGUGCCAUUUGUAGAGAUACAAAGUUCCCUUCGGGGACGCUAAGACAGGUGGUGCAUGGCUGUCGUCAGCUCGUGUCGUGAGAUGUUGGGUUAAGUCCCGCAACGAGCGCAACCCUUGUUAUUAGUUGCCAGCAUUAAGUUGGGCACUCUAAUGAGACUGCCGGUGACAAACCGGAGGAAGGUGGGGAUGACGUCAAGUCAUCAUGCCCCUUAUGACCUGGGCUACACACGUGCUACAAUGGGCAGUACAACGAGAAGCGAGCCUGCGAAGGCAAGCGAAUCUCUGAAAGCUGUUCUCAGUUCGGACUGCAGUCUGCAACUCGACUGCACGAAGCUGGAAUCGCUAGUAAUCGCGGAUCAGCACGCCGCGGUGAAUACGUUUCCGGGCCUUGUACACACCGCCCGUCACACCAUGGGAGUCUGCAAUGCCCAAAGCCGGUGGCCUAACCUUCGGGAAGGAGCCGUCUAAGGCAGGGCAGAUGACUGGGGUGAAGUCGUAACAAGGUAGCCGUAGGAGAACCUGCGGCUGGAUCACCUCCUUU